AGAUUGAACGCUGGCGGCGUGCCUUACACAUGCAAGUCGAACGGCAGCACGGGGGGCAACCCUGGUGGCGAGUGGCGAACGGGUGAGUAAUGCAUCGGAACGUGCCCAGUAGUGGGGGGAUAACUAGUCGAAAGAUUAGCUAAUACCGCAUACGACCUAUGGGUGAAAGCGGGGGAUUCGCAAGAACCUCGCGCUAUCGGAGCGGCCGAUGUCUGAUUAGCUAGUGGCGGGUAAAAGCCCACCAAGGCUUCGAUCAGUAGCUGGUCUGAGAGGACGACCAGCCACACUGGGACUGAGACACGGCCCAGACUCCUACGGGAGGCAGCAGUGGGGAAUUUUGGACAAUGGACGCAAGCCUGAUCCAGCCAUGCCGCGUGCGGGAAGAAGGCCUACGGUUGUAAACCGUCUUUGGCAGGAACGAAACGCGACGAGACGAAUAUCUCGCGUUAAUGACGGUACUGACUAGAA
Molecule: ribosomal RNA, 468 nt
Filed under: uncultured soil bacterium
Lineage: Bacteria
Description: bacterial SSU rRNA
Rfam family: Bacterial small subunit ribosomal RNA
Source: RNAcentral